UAUUACGAGGUGAGCAAAACGAAAUUAAAAGUGGAUAUUACCGUAGCCGGUGCACGUUCAUCCUUUUCAGAAGUACAAUAAUGGGAGAUUUUAAUGCAAACGACAAUUUACCUUUAUGUAGUUUAAGACUAAUGUACAACGCAACAGUUGCAUUCUGUAUUCUCCCUAUUUGGUUAGUGAAAAGUGGAUUUAGGUGGAUUCAAAUAAUUAAAUUGUAUAGGUUCAUCAUACUGUUGAUAGUUUGGGUUAGAUUAGAUAUGAUCCAACUUUAAUGUCACUUAACACAGGGAGUACAGGUAGAACAAAAACAGUUUAGUGCCAUAGAUAUGAAAUAUGUGUAAUUCAGUGUACAUGAUAAAUUCUGACUACUAAGAGAAUGUGCAAUGAGAAUGCCUGUUACUUAAUAUCAACAGGCCAGUCAUCCUCUUGACCGACCCUAAGGUACCACACAGCACCUGAUACUGUGUAAUUAACCCCACUUGACCUACUCAGGUGAAUGAGCACUACUAAUAUUCUUUUGUGGACAUUUAUAAAAAGACAAUCCCACAUAGAGUGUUUUUACAUUAUGUGAAGAAUGAAACUGACGAUUGUUUAAUGUACUGAGUAUUUGUAUGCCUUUGGGACUGUCUGGUAAUAAACAUACUAAAACAGAAAUAAAAAACAAUAAUGGCAAAAGUAUGGUGAGGUACGGGGAUAUGAAUAGAUUUCUGUUAACAAAAAUGUAGACAGGAAAAACUCUCAACUUGCUUGUGGCAAUAAGUACAAGUCAUGAUUUGCAGCAUUGCAUUCUCCGUCUGUGCACCGUGACAGCAUAGAUGGUAAAAUGUAGCAGGGAUGCCACCGGUGUAAGUAGUGUGGGUAGAAUACAUAUAAUCAGUUAUGUACACACACCUGCAUUUAACCAAAGUGAGGCAUUUGCUGUCUAAUGUGUUUUUUUGCUUUAAUGCAACACUGCUACAGCUCUAUGUAUUCUGUCUGUACAUCUUCCUCAAUAAACAUUUGGUACUUGCAGAGAUAGCCAUGUAUCUCACACUGUGCUCUGUUUUUACUGUACAGAAUACAGUGUGAGAUACUGGUAAGUCAGUAUAUAAUAUUGUCAUUAAUUGAGUCUCUAUGCCUAAAGUAGCCUUGUGGUGGGUCUUGUUUCACCACUAAUUUACCUUAAUGAACAGCUAUAUGCAUAGGUGGUAAAAAUGUUGAAAGUAACUUUUGCCUCCUUUAGUAAAGAUGAACCUAAUGAUAAAAAGAAUUGGCAUUCAUUCAACAAUUCUGGUUGUGCUGCAAUCCAGCAGAACCACUUCAUGGUAAGUUAUCACAAAACAUAAAAGAUGUUUAUUAACAUGUUAAAGUGGCUUAUAAAUGAAAUAGUCUAGAUUUGUAUUUCUUUACCUUACAUAAACAGAAACUGUAGCCGGGCAUUGAACUGAGGGGCUAAUUGGAUCAAAAUAAUAUAACCUUUGGUAGGCAAAUUGCAGCAUGAAUAAGGAACUACUAAUAACUGAAACUUAACAUAACAAUUUCAAAUUUGUGGUAUCAAAUCUAAAACAGUAUAUAUAGAGAGAGAGAGAGAGAGAGAGAGAGAGAGAGAGGACGAUCGGACUUGGACGUCGCGCGGCCCAUACACAGACCGAAGCCCGUGCGCCCGUGACUGGAUCCACCGGAUGCAAAAGAAAGUACAGCCAGAGAAAUAGGAA
This is a long non-coding RNA of Etheostoma spectabile (orangethroat darter), 1694 nucleotides long. RefSeq lists it as uncharacterized. NCBI's taxonomy places the organism in Eukaryota, Metazoa, Chordata, Actinopteri, Perciformes, Percidae. The record is from RefSeq and is a predicted model, not a curated record. The transcript is spliced from 2 exons.